GUGAAUUGUCAUCUAAUUGAGACUUAAGGGUGAAUUGAUGUGGGUCAGAUGAGGAACCGGAGCAAGAGCAUGCCAGUGCGAGAGAUCAGGGUUUGCACAGGCUGGAACACACCUUUGUGGAGGAGUGAAAGAAGCUGGAGGUUGGAAUGCAAGAGAUGGAGUGGCAUAUCUCAGUUUUGGAGGGAGUGACCUGCUUCGUCACUCUGGCUGUAGUGGACUGGAGGGAGUCCAGCCAGGUGCAGUUAGGACCUUAGGGGUAUGUGGAAGAACCUGUGAGAGGUUCCCUGAUUUCCUUGUUGAGCUUGCAUUGGAGGAUCAAUGGUGGCCUAUGGACAAGAGUUGAACUUUAGAACUGGUCAGACUUGUGUUUACCUUAUUCCCAGAAUAUUUCAGUCUGCUAUUUUUUUCUUUCAUGUAAUAAUGUGUUAAUUCAGAUUUUCUGAGAAGCAGACAUUAGAGUCUAGAGAUGGGAUAUGCAGUGCACGUCCAGUUGGAAGCAAUGACUGUGGCAGAUAAAGGAUUCCAUGUGUCACUCAGUCACAGCUGAGGGUGGUCUGUGGGAAGUGUGGCAUCCAGUGUGGCUGAUGGAUCCAGAGGGACAGCACCUGGAGCCAUUUGACAAGUAUAUUUCCACAGCAGUAGAUCUACCAGCCCAUAUCACAGUCUCC
RNAcentral lists this long non-coding RNA (668 nucleotides) under Marmota monax (woodchuck). Lineage: Eukaryota; Metazoa; Chordata; Mammalia; Rodentia; Sciuridae. The record is from RNAcentral.